UUGGAAAAUAAACUAAAUAAAGUUUCAGAACUCAUAAUUCUGCUAUAUGGAUAAUUCAUUUUUCCAAA
Molecule: non-coding RNA, 68 nt
Organism: Mya arenaria
Lineage: Eukaryota; Metazoa; Mollusca; Bivalvia; Myida; Myidae
Source: the annotation of a RefSeq genome assembly